GGGUUGUGAGGUUAAGCGACUAAGCGUACACGGUGGAUGCCCUGGCAGUCAGAGGCGAUGAAGGACGUGCUAAUCUGCGAAAAGCGUCGGUAAGGUGAUAUGAACCGUUACAGCCGGCGAUGUCCGAAUGGGGAAACCCAGUGUGAUUCGUCACACUAUCGUUAACUGAAUACAUAGGUUAACGAGGCGAACCGGGGGAACUGAAACAUCUAAGUACCCCGAGGAAAAGAAAUCAACCGAGAUUCCCCCAGUAGCGGCGAGCGAACGGGGAGCAGCCCAGAGUCUGAAUCAGCUUGUGUGUUAGUGGAACGGUCUGGAAAGUCCGACGGUACAGGGUGAUAGUCCCGUACACCAAAAUGCACAGGCUGUGAACUCGAAGAGUAGGGCGGGACACGUGGUAUCCUGUCUGAAUAUGGGGGGACCAUCCUCCAAGGCUAAAUACUCCUGACUGACCGAUAGUGAACCAGUACCGUGAGGGAAAGGCGAAAAGAACCCCGGCGAGGGGAGUGAAAAAGAACCUGAAACCGUGUACGUACAAGCAGUGGGAGCACCUUCGGGUGUGACUGCGUACCUUUUGUAUAAUGGGUCAGCGACUUAUAUUCUGUAGCAAGGUUAACCGUAUAGGGGAGCCGCAGGGAAACCGAGUCUUAACUGGGCGUUAAGUUGCAGGGUAUAGACCCGAAACCCGGUGAUCUAGCCAUGGGCAGGUUGAAGGUUGGGUAACACUAACUGGAGGACCGAACCGACUAAUGUUGAAAAAUUAGCGGAUGACUUGUGGCUGGGGGUGAAAGGCCAAUCAAACCGGGAGAUAGCUGGUUCUCCCCGAAAGCUAUUUAGGUAGCGCCUCGUGAAUUCAUCUUCGGGGGUAGAGCACUGUUUCGGCUAGGGGGUCAUCCCGACUUACCAACCCGAUGCAAACUACGAAUACCGAAGAAUGUUAUCACGGGAGACACACGGCGGGUGCUAACGUCCGUCGUGAAGAGGGAAACAACCCAGACCGCCAGCUAAGGUCCCAAAGUCAUGGUUAAGUGGGAAACGAUGUGGGAAGGCACAGACAGCCAGGAUGUUGGCUUAGAAGCAGCCAUCAUUUAAAGAAAGCGUAAUAGCUCACUGGUCGAGUCGGCCUGCGCGGAAGAUGUAACGGGGCUAAACCAUGCACCGAAGCUGCGGCAGCGACACUAUGUGUUGUUGGGUAGGGGAGCGUUCUGUAAGCCUGCGAAGGUGACCUGUGAGGGUUGCUGGAGGUAUCAGAAGUGCGAAUGCUGACAUAAGUAACGAUAAAGCGGGUGAAAAGCCCGCUCGCCGGAAGACCAAGGGUUCCUGUCCAACGUUAAUCGGGGCAGGGUGAGUCGACCCCUAAGGCGAGGCCGAAAGGCGUAGUCGAUGGGAAACAGGUUAAUAUUCCUGUACUUGGUGUUACUGCGAAGGGGGGACGGAGAAGGCUAUGUUAGCCGGGCGACGGUUGUCCCGGUUUAAGCAUGUAGGCUGGUUGUCCAGGCAAAUCCGGAUAAUCAAGGCUGAGGUGUGAUGACGAGGCACUACGGUGCUGAAGUAACAAAUGCCCUGCUUCCAGGAAAAGCCUCUAAGCAUCAGGUAACAUCAAAUCGUACCCCAAACCGACACAGGUGGUCAGGUAGAGAAUACCAAGGCGCUUGAGAGAACUCGGGUGAAGGAACUAGGCAAAAUGGUGCCGUAACUUCGGGAGAAGGCACGCUGGUGUGUAGGUGAAGUCCCUGCGGAUGGAGCUGAGACCAGUCGAAGAUACCAGCUGGCUGCAACUGUUUAUUAAAAACACAGCACUGUGCAAACACGAAAGUGGACGUAUACGGUGUGACGCCUGCCCGGUGCCGGAAGGUUAAUUGAUGGGGUUAUCCGUAAGGAGAAGCUCUUGAUCGAAGCCCCGGUAAACGGCGGCCGUAACUAUAACGGUCCUAAGGUAGCGAAAUUCCUUGUCGGGUAAGUUCCGACCUGCACGAAUGGCGUAAUGAUGGCCAGGCUGUCUCCACCCGAGACUCAGUGAAAUUGAACUCGCUGUGAAGAUGCAGUGUACCCGCGGCAAGACGGAAAGACCCCGUGAACCUUUACUAUAGCUUGACACUGAACAUUGAGCCUUGAUGUGUAGGAUAGGUGGGAGGCUUUGAAGCGUGGACGCCAGUCUGCGUGGAGCCAACCUUGAAAUACCACCCUUUAAUGUUUGAUGUUCUAACGUUGGCCCCUUACCGGGGUUGCGGACAGUGUCUGGUGGGUAGUUUGACUGGGGCGGUCUCCUCCCAAAGCGUAACGGAGGAGCACGAAGGUUAGCUAAUCCUGGUCGGACAUCAGGAGGUUAGUGCAAUGGCAUAAGCUAGCUUGACUGCGAGCGUGACGGCGCGAGCAGGUGCGAAAGCAGGUCAUAGUGAUCCGGUGGUUCUGAAUGGAAGGGCCAUCGCUCAACGGAUAAAAGGUACUCCGGGGAUAACAGGCUGAUACCGCCCAAGAGUUCAUAUCGACGGCGGUGUUUGGCACCUCGAUGUCGGCUCAUCACAUCCUGGGGCUGAAGUAGGUCCCAAGGGUAUGGCUGUUCGCCAUUUAAAGUGGUACGCGAGCUGGGUUUAGAACGUCGUGAGACAGUUCGGUCCCUAUCUGCCGUGGGCGCUGGAGAAUUGAGGGGGCUGCUCCUAGUACGAGAGGACCGGAGUGGACGCAUCACUGGUGUUCGGGUUGUCAUGCCAAUGGCACUGCCCGGUAGCUAAAUGCGGAAGAGAUAAGUGCUGAAAGCAUCUAAGCACGAAACUUGCCCCGAGAUGAGUUCUCCCUGAGACUUUAAGUCUCCUGAAGGAACGUUAAAGACGAUGACGUUGAUAGGCCGGGUGUGUAAGCGCAGCGAUGCGUUGAGCUAACCGGUACUAAUGAACCGUGAGGCUUAACCUUACAACGCCGAAG
RNAcentral lists this ribosomal RNA (2922 nucleotides) under Klebsiella pneumoniae. Its description in RNAcentral is "bacterial LSU rRNA". It matches the Rfam family "Bacterial large subunit ribosomal RNA". Lineage: Bacteria; Pseudomonadati; Pseudomonadota; Gammaproteobacteria; Enterobacterales; Enterobacteriaceae. The record is from RNAcentral.